Molecule: unclassified non-coding RNA, 343 nt
Filed under: soil metagenome
Description: partial contains 5.8S ribosomal RNA, internal transcribed spacer 2, and large subunit ribosomal RNA
Rfam family: 5.8S ribosomal RNA (bases 1-120)
Source: RNAcentral
GAUGAAGAACGCAGCGAAAUGCGAUAACUAAUGUGAAUUGCAGAAUUCAGUGAAUCAUCGAGUUUUUGAACGCAUAUUGCGCCCUCUGGUAUUCCGGGGGGCAUGCCUGUUCGAGCGUCAUUAAAUAACCCUCAAGCAUAGCUUGGUGUUGGGCUUUUUUACGUCCUUGACUGGGAUGGGCCUAAAAAUUAGUGGCGAUGGCUUUUUUACUUUCAAGCGUAGUAAAUCUCGUCUUGCUAAAGAGGAAAAAGAUUUUUUUUCUGCCAAAAAUUUUAACAUUUAAAGUUGACCUCGGAUCAGGUAGGAUUACCCGCUGAACUUAAGCAUAUCAAUAAGCGGAGGA